RNAcentral lists this ribosomal RNA (253 nucleotides) under uncultured bacterium. Its description in RNAcentral is "partial 16S ribosomal RNA". It matches the Rfam family "Bacterial small subunit ribosomal RNA", at positions 524 to 776 of the family's 1533-position model. The record is from RNAcentral.
GACGAACCGUGCGAACGUUGUUCGGAAUCACUGGGCAUAAAGGGCGCGUAGGCGGGCCGUAAAGUCAGGGGUGAAAUCCUCCAGCUUAACUGGAGAACUGCCUUUGAUACUGACGGCCUCGAGUGAGGUAGGGGCGUGCGGAACUGAUGGUGGAGCGGUGAAAUGUGUUGAUAUCAUCAGGAACUCCGGUGGCGAAAGCGGCACGCUGGACCUCUACUGACGCUGAGGCGCGAAAGCCAGGGGAGCAAACGGG